This is a long non-coding RNA of Boleophthalmus pectinirostris (great blue-spotted mudskipper), 265 nucleotides long. RefSeq lists it as uncharacterized. Lineage: Eukaryota; Metazoa; Chordata; Actinopteri; Gobiiformes; Gobiidae. The record is from RefSeq and is a predicted model, not a curated record. The transcript is spliced from 3 exons.
GGUUAAAGGAUUCUUACAGGCAGAAGGACACAGGGUCCAGUGGGAACGGGUAAAGAACUCAAUGCACAGGGUUGAUGCGGAUGGAGUUUUCCAGCCAAUGAUGCAGCUUGGUGCAUUGUCCUUAGUCCACAUGGAUACAAAUCAUAAAUGAAUAAGGUACAACAUUGUACAACAUCUUUGGGGCAAUUGAUGGUUAUUCUAGAAAGAUCAUGUACCUUGAGCCAGCAACAAACAACAAAUCAAGCACGGCUCUUACAUUUUUUCU